This 498-nucleotide ribosomal RNA is filed under the name uncultured bacterium. RNAcentral describes it as "partial 16S ribosomal RNA". It matches the Rfam family "Bacterial small subunit ribosomal RNA", at positions 30 to 523 of the family's 1533-position model. The record is from RNAcentral.
AUUGAACGCUGGCGGCAUGCCUUACACAUGCAAGUCGAACGGUAACAGGUCUUCGGAUGCUGACGAGUGGCGAACGGGUGAGUAAUACAUCGGAACGUGCCUAGUAGUGGGGGAUAACUACUCGAAAGAGUGGCUAAUACCGCAUGAGAUCUACGGACGAAAGCAGGGGAUCGCAAGACCUUGUGCUACUAGAGCGGCCGAUGGCAGAUUAGGUAGUAGGUGGGAUAAAAGCUUACCAAGCCGACGAUCUGUAGCUGGUCUGAGAGGACGAUCAGCCACACUGGGACUGAGACACGGCCCAGACUCCUACGGGAGGCAGCAGUGGGGAAUUUUGGACAAUGGGCGCAAGCCUGAUCCAGCAAUGCCGCGUGCAGGAUGAAGGCCUUCGGGUUGUAAACUGCUUUUGUACGGAACGAAAAGCCCUGGGUUAAUACCCUGGGGUCAUGACGGUACCGUAAGAAUAAGCACCGGCUAACUACGUGCCAGCAGCCGCCGUAA